CCUACGGGAGGCAGCAGUGGGGAAUAUUGCACAAUGGGGGAAACCCUGAUGCAGCGACGCCGCGUGAGUGAAGAAGUAUUUCGGUACGUAAAGCUCUAUCAGCAGGGAAGAAAAAAAGUCCUUUGGACUUUGGACGGUAACUGACUACGAAGCCCCGGCUAACUACGUGCCAGCAGCCGCGGUAAUACGUAGGGGGCAAGCGUUAUCCGGAUUGACUGGGUGUAAAGGGAGAGUAGACGGCAGCGCAAGUCUGGAGUGAAAUGCCGGGGCCCAACCGCGGAACUGCUUUGGAAACUGUGCGGCUGGAGUGCAGGAGAGGUAAGCGGAAUUCCUAGUGUAGCGGUGAAAUGCGUAGAUAUUAGGAGGAACACCAGUGGCGAAGGCGGCUUACUGGACUGUAACUGACGUUGAGGCGCGAAAGCGUGGGGAGCAAACAGGAUUAGAUACCCCUGUAGUC
RNAcentral lists this ribosomal RNA (457 nucleotides) under uncultured bacterium. RNAcentral describes it as "partial 16S ribosomal RNA". It matches the Rfam family "Bacterial small subunit ribosomal RNA", at positions 338 to 795 of the family's 1533-position model. The record is from RNAcentral.